CUUUAUUCUUUAUUCUUUAUUCUUUAUUCUUUAUUCUUUAUUCUUUAUUCUUUAUUCUUUAUUCUUUAUUCUUUAUUCUUUAUUCUUUAUUCUUUAUUCUUUAUUCUUUAUUCUUUAUUCUUUAUUCUUUAUUCUUUAUUCUUUAUUCUUUAUUCUUUAUUCUUUAUUCUUUAUUCUUUAUUCUUUAUUCUUUAUUCUUAACCCUACAAGAUGAUUUUUAUUGAUUAAAAAUAACUAAGGGAAAGAUGAGUGAUUGUAAAAUGAAUAGGGUUAGUAGGGAAUUGUUUGAUAAUAUUAAGUCAUUUUUGCACUAUAAGCUUAAAAC
RNAcentral lists this ribosomal RNA (325 nucleotides) under Helicobacter pylori Hp P-25. RNAcentral's name for it is "partial 23S ribosomal RNA". The record is from RNAcentral. Lineage: Bacteria; Pseudomonadati; Campylobacterota; Epsilonproteobacteria; Campylobacterales; Helicobacteraceae.